GGGGAAUAUUGCACAAUGGGCGAAAGCCUGAUGCAGCGACGCCGCGUGCGGGAUGAAGGCCUUCGGUUGUAAACCGCUUUUAAUUGGGAGCAAGCGAGAGUGAGUGUACCUUUUGAAUAAGCACCGGCUAACUACGUGCCAGCAGCCGCGGUAAUACGUAGGGUGCAAGCGUUAUCCGGAAUUAUUGGGCGUAAAGAGCUCGUAGGCGGUUUGUCACGCCUGGUGUGAAAGUCCAUCGCUUAACGGUGGAUCUGCGCCGGGUACGGGGCAGGCUAGAGUGCAGUAGGGGAGAUUGGAAU
This 299-nucleotide ribosomal RNA is filed under the name uncultured bacterium. Its description in RNAcentral is "partial 16S ribosomal RNA". It matches the Rfam family "Bacterial small subunit ribosomal RNA", at positions 356 to 667 of the family's 1533-position model. The record is from RNAcentral.